GCGGGUAUAGUUAAGUGGCAUAAUGGAUGCUUCCCAAGCAUCAGUCGGGAGUUCGAUUCUCCCUACCCGCA
This 71-nucleotide transfer RNA is filed under the name bacterium. RNAcentral's name for it is "tRNA-Gly". It matches the Rfam family "tRNA". From Rfam's summary of the family: Transfer RNA (tRNA) molecules are approximately 80 nucleotides in length. Their secondary structure includes four short double-helical elements and three loops (D, anti-codon, and T loops). The record is from RNAcentral.